AAGGAGGGUUUGCUAUGUGCACUUUAAGAUGCAAUUAUAUAUUCACUGACUUGGGAGUAACCCCCAAUAAACUCAGUGGAGCCAAUUUUGGAUGGACUUGUAUUUAUUUAUUUUGAUUUUAAAAUACUUAUCCCACUUUAUAAUAGAAAAUUUCACAGCAGUGUAUAAUAAAAUUAAUUUAAUGCUUUUCUAGAUGUGUCAAAUGUGUCAGGCGUUUAUCUAAACUGUGGCUGUAUAUUCCAUUUUAAAAUGACUGUAAAUUAUAUUUUGCCCAUCAUACAAUAUUUAGGCUAGUAAUCUCCUUUCUCAUUGUUAAGAUGUAUUAUGAAACUGCAUUAUAUGCCAGUGUAAAUGGAACUGGUGCCACAAUGAGUCGUAUCUCUUUCUUCAUGUGAAAAUAUGAAAAGGGGACCGUGCUAUGUCAUCAUGUUUGUAGGUUUCCCCUUUGAAUCAGACAUGUAACAUAAAGGUGUGAUCACAUCCACUCUCACAAAAUUCAUAGGAUACACAACAGACAUUCUGGUAUGUGAUGAUGUCCAUAUUGCCUAUUUGAAAAUCACUGAAAGCCAAUACAUGUCAUAUAGUCUUCUUAGAUCAGACUGAGCCCUGAUUGCAAUUUGGGAUUCACAUCUUUAAAGUUUAUUUGUGUCCCUGACAAUGAAAAGUCUAAAUAUUUAGCACUUUCAAUUAGUGAAUAAGAGGAUUGUCAUGCUCUUGACUGUAAUAUUUAACCAUCUCUCUCCACUCUCAUUCUAGAUAAGAGUUCUUCCUUUUUAUUUCUUUCCCUAAAUCAGAACUUAUUUUAGUUGAAUCUGAAUCACACUUUUCCUCUAAGACAGUGGUUCCCAACCUUCUGCCAUUUCAACUUCAUAGGCAGUCAGAGAAGAUCAUAACUUCCCACUUUCACCCUGUUCACUUCCUUUUAAGACAGUGGUUCCCAACCUUCCUAAUGCCACGACCCCUUAAUACAGUUCCUCAUGUUGUGGUAACCCCCAACCAUAAAAUUAUUUUCAUUGCCACUUCAUAACUGUUAUUUUGCUACUGUUAUGAAUAUAACAU
RNAcentral lists this long non-coding RNA (1059 nucleotides) under Anolis carolinensis (green anole). RNAcentral describes it as "lncRNA (ENSACAG00000037935.1)". The record is from RNAcentral. Lineage: Eukaryota; Metazoa; Chordata; Lepidosauria; Squamata; Anolidae.